Molecule: ribosomal RNA, 478 nt
Filed under: uncultured bacterium
Lineage: Bacteria
Description: partial 16S ribosomal RNA
Rfam family: Bacterial small subunit ribosomal RNA
Source: RNAcentral
GACGAACGCUGGCGGCGUGCUUAACACAUGCAAGUCGAACGGUAAGGCCCUUCGGGGUACACGAGUGGCGAACGGGUGAGUAACACGUGGGUGAUCUGCCCUACACUUCGGGAUAAGCCUGGGAAACUGGGUCUAAUACCGGAUAGGACCCUGGGAUGCAUGUCCUGGGGUGGAAAGCUUUUGCGGUGUGGGAUGGGCCCGCGGCCUAUCAGCUUGUUGGUGGGGUGAUGGCCUACCAAGGCGACGACGGGUAGCCGGCCUGAGAGGGUGACCGGCCAAACUGGGACUGUGAGACGGCCGAGACUGCUACGGGAGGAAGCAGUGGGGAAUAUUGCACGAUGGGCGCAAGCCGGAUGCAGCGACGCCGGGUGAGGGAUGACGGCCUUCGGGUUGUAAACCUCUUUCAGCACCGACGAAGCGCAAGUGACGGUAGGUGCAGAAGAAGGACCGGCCAACUACGUGCCAGCCGCCGCCGUAA